This 85-nucleotide small RNA is filed under the name Aristaeella lactis. Its description in RNAcentral is "Gut-1 RNA". It matches the Rfam family "Gut-1 RNA". The record is from RNAcentral. Lineage: Bacteria; Bacillati; Bacillota; Clostridia; Eubacteriales; Aristaeellaceae.
AUGUGAAAUAUCGGCCUAUGGCCGAUGUGAAAUAUUCGGCUGCGCCGAAUGUGAAAUGUGGCUUAUCAGCCACGUGAUAUAAUGU